GCCCGGGUGGCGAAAUCGGUAGACGCAGCGGACUUAAAAUCCGCCACCUUGAAAAGGGUGUACGGGUUCGAGUCCCGUCCCGGGCA
Molecule: transfer RNA, 86 nt
Filed under: Pelomonas sp. Root1444
Lineage: Bacteria; Pseudomonadati; Pseudomonadota; Betaproteobacteria; Burkholderiales; Sphaerotilaceae
Rfam family: tRNA
About the family: Transfer RNA (tRNA) molecules are approximately 80 nucleotides in length.
Source: Rfam by way of RNAcentral